GUUUUCUUGAUUUCAAUGGGUAUCAGAUUGAGUGGUUGCUCUGGAUUCCCCGCUUCAUUGAUUAAUUUGAAACUCAUGGGAUUAUUUCUAUGUCUGUCUGCUAUUGAGGGUUAUUGUUAUUGCAUAAUUUUAAAUCGUAUGCAUCAUUUAAAUUAUAAAAAUAAAUGUCCACAUCGUAACGGGUUUACCUAUAACACCCCUUCAGCCGAAAUGGAGUCUUCCAUAUUAUCGUUUCGAGUUGUCUCCCUUCCGGAAGUAUUUUCCGUCAAAAUUGAAAUACAGUACGACUCGUACGUCAAGAAAAAUUAACUCGUUAGAUGUCGAUAAACGUCGUAUUAUAUUAAGAACGAUCUCAAUUUAAACAGAGGAGUGUGUACGGAAAGGAGUCAUGCCCACUGACCCAAAGGAAAUUAAUAUUUAAAGGGUUAGUAAUGGGGUUCCUCCUAGAAUUAACGGUGAUAAGAUACGAAGUGAAAUACCUUCUCUCAUUCUCAGUGACUGCUGUGGAAAGUAAACUUGGAAUUGAUAGUACAAAAAUAAGACACAAUAAGUACGUUGCUCAUACACUUGUAUGGUAUUGUUUCCGGGAUUUGCCAUUUUUAAAGUUGAGUGACUAUUCUGAUUAUUACAUUUUGCAUGUGCAGUUGAAUUAGUUUUGAAAAUAAAUAAUACUAUCCAGCUGUACCAGGGC
Molecule: long non-coding RNA, 691 nt
Filed under: Mytilus galloprovincialis (Mediterranean mussel)
Lineage: Eukaryota; Metazoa; Mollusca; Bivalvia; Mytilida; Mytilidae
Source: RNAcentral